Long non-coding RNA from Amphimedon queenslandica, 252 nucleotides. RefSeq lists it as uncharacterized. The record is from RefSeq and is a predicted model, not a curated record. Lineage: Eukaryota; Metazoa; Porifera; Demospongiae; Haplosclerida; Niphatidae. The transcript has 3 exons.
AGGAAAAAAAUUUAAAAAAAAGCGAAGGCAACACAGAGGAGGGUGGGGUAAAUGUGGAAAGCGUGGAAGAGGAGGGAGGGGAGGAGGCCAAGGAGGGUGGGGAGGAGGCCAAGGAGGUAGAGGGGGAGGCCAAGGAGGAACAGGAGGAGCCCCUCGUCCAACAGAUUCAUCAGCAAGUGCUAAAACUAUAAAUUAUUUUAAUGUUAAAUGUAGGAACCUUAAUUAUAGUUCUAAAUAAAAUCUAAAUAAAAA